Molecule: ribosomal RNA, 253 nt
Filed under: uncultured bacterium
Lineage: Bacteria
Description: partial 16S ribosomal RNA
Rfam family: Bacterial small subunit ribosomal RNA
Source: RNAcentral
UACGUAGGGGGCAAGCGUUAUCCGGAUUCACUGGGCGUAAAGGGAGCGCAGGCGGCGUGGCAAGUCUGAUGUGAAAACCCGGGGCCCAACCCCGGGAGUGCAUUGGAAACUGCCAGGCUGGAGUGUCGGAGGGGUAAGCGGAAUUCCUAGUGUAGCGGUGAAAUGCGUAGAUAUUAGGAGGAACACCAGUGGCGAAGGCGGCUUACUGGACGACUACUGACGCUGAGGCUCGAAAGCGUGGGGAGCAAACAGG